UGCGUAGGCGGUUUCGUAUGUCAGAUGUGAAAUCCCAUUGCUCAACGAUGGAAUUGCAUUUGAAACUGCGGAACUGGAGUGCAGGAUGGGAGAGCGGAAUUCUUGGUGUAGCGGUGAAAUGCGUUGAUAUCAAGAGGAACACCGGUGGCGAAGGCGGCUCUCUGGAAUGUUACUGACGCUGAGGCACGAAAGUUGGGGGAGCAAACA
RNAcentral lists this ribosomal RNA (207 nucleotides) under uncultured bacterium. RNAcentral's name for it is "partial 16S ribosomal RNA". It matches the Rfam family "Bacterial small subunit ribosomal RNA", at positions 568 to 774 of the family's 1533-position model. The record is from RNAcentral.